Molecule: long non-coding RNA, 26430 nt
Filed under: Citrus maxima (pomelo)
Lineage: Eukaryota; Viridiplantae; Streptophyta; Magnoliopsida; Sapindales; Rutaceae
Description: long non-coding RNA (CMAX_LNC003327)
Source: RNAcentral
UUAACUUCUCUUUUAUUUGGACUCUUUGGUCCAAGCAAUAAUGUAAGCUUCGCUCUAUAUAAUAAGCUUAUAACCUAAACUGUCCAGCAAAUUAAACAUACACUUCACACACAAGGCUUCUUGUUUUUGUAGUAGUUUCAUGGCAGCUUGAGUUUCUAUCUCUUCUUCCAAACCCUAGCUUAUAUAAUUAAACACUCGCAGUCUCUCUCUCUCUCUCUCUCUCUCUCUCUCUCUCUCUCGCUCUCUGGCUAGCUAGCUUAGCAACAACAUGGCUGCAGGCUUGGGAGCCAAGAGCAACAACAAUACUGACCCUCAAAACCAAAAAACUCUUGCGGAUUUUGAUCCCCAAAAGAAACCAAAAAGAAAUCUGUAUGCCUCCGGCGCUGCCAUUUUGGCUUCCAUGACUUCAAUCUUACUAGGUUAUGGUAAGUUAACUUUGCAAGAACCCUUUCUUGUAUCUAUAUCUAUAAGUUUGCUUUACAUCGUGAUUCACGAAACAUGCAUCAUGGAGAUGGAAGUAAUAAGGUUUCUUUGUGAAGAAAAUCUUCUCAGAAAGUGGAUAAGUUUUGUGUGGGUGUUAGUCGGUUUAACAGAAAAAAAUCUGUUUAAAUUAGUAUAAGAAAUUAAGAGUUCGAAUCUCGCUGUCAUAAGAUUUUAUUUCAUGCAUGCGUAAUUGGUUCUGCAUGCAUAAAUUAAUUAAGUUUUUUUUUUUUUUGGUAUUCUUUUCUCGUAGACAUUGGAGUAAUGAGUGGAGCUGCACUCUACAUCAAAGACGACUUUAAAGUCAGUGACACACAAAUCGAGAUCUUAAUUGGAAUCUUGAAUAUUUACUCACUCAUCGGCUCACUGGCCGCCGGCAGAACCUCCGACUGGAUUGGCCGCCGGUACACUAUAGUGUUAGCCGGGGCCAUCUUCUUCGCCGGAGCGCUGCUCAUGGGGUUCGCCACAAACUAUGCUUUCCUCAUGGGGGGUCGCUUCGUCGCCGGUGUCGGCGUCGGAUACGCUCUCAUGAUCGCUCCCGUUUACACAGCUGAACUCUCUCCGGCUUCCACUCGAGGCUUUCUCACCUCAUUUCCUGAGGUUUGUGCUUCUUCUUCUUGUUUUUGGAAAUGGCUUUCUUGUUUCUUAAAACAGAAUUAAUUUUGAACGGAUGAUACUUUUACUUUCCAAAGUUUUGAAGUACAACCCUUCAAAACACUCAAAUGAGUAACGGUAUAAAUGCGUUUCGCUUUUUUUGUAUUUUAAGAUUUUAUCGUCUAAAUCCGUGACGUACUGACGUAUUAAUUAAAUAAAGUAAUCUCUAGUCUCCUCACUAGUGUUAGGACCUAUCUUAAAAACCAAGCUAAUAUUUGAUCCUUAACUAAAUAUAAUAAAAUAUAAGGGGUUUAAUGAUAUUAUCCUCUUUUCAACGUUUCAGGUUUUCAUUAACGGCGGGAUAUUACUUGGCUACGUCUCGAACUACGGAUUCUCCAAACUACCCCUCCACUUAGGCUGGCGCAUGAUGCUCGGAAUCGGCGCCAUUCCGUCGGUGCUUCUCGCCGUCGGCGUGUUAGCCAUGCCAGAAUCUCCGCGCUGGCUGGUGAUGCAAGGCCGACUCGCCGAUGCAAAGAAAGUUCUCGACAAAACCUCGGACUCGAAAGAGGAGUCUAUGCUCAGACUCGCCGAUAUCAAAGAAGCAGCCGGCAUUCCUGAAGACUGCAACGACGACGUCGUUCAAGUACCGAAAAUCAACCGUGGCGAAGGCGUAUGGAAAGAGCUGCUGGUCCGUCCUACACCGGCCGUUCGUCACAUCAUAGUCGCAGCCGUUGGUAUUCAUUUCUUCCAACAAGCAUCCGGCAUAGACGCUGUCGUUCUGUACAGUCCUAGAAUCUUUGAAAAAGCUGGGAUUGCGUCAUCAGACAAAAAGUUACUCGCUACUGUAGCCGUUGGAUUUGUCAAGACCACUUUCAUCCUAGUGGCUACGUUUUUACUCGACAAAAUCGGACGGCGUCCGUUGCUUUUGAGCAGUGUUGCGGGCAUGAUCGCCUCGCUCGCGACCCUUGCUAUCUCUCUCACAGUCAUAGAUCAGUCACACAAGAAGAUGAUCUGGGCUAUUGGUUUGGCCAUCUCAACGGUUUUAUCCUACGUGGCGUUUUUCUCAAUCGGGAUGGGUCCCAUCACGUGGGUUUACAGUUCAGAGAUUCUGCCGUUGAAGCUACGCGCUCAGGGAGCGAGUAUCGGGGUCAUGGUGAACAGGGUAACAAGUGGGGUCGUAUCGAUGACUUUCCUAUCGCUUAGUAAAGCGAUCACGAUUGGCGGCUCCUUCUUUCUAUACGCGUCAAUUGCAUCAGUUGCGUGGGUGUUUUUCUACACGUGUCUCCCCGAAACGCAGGGUAAAACCCUUGAAGAGAUGGGGGCGCUCUUUGGUAAUUUCCGUUGGCUGAGGGAUUCCAAGAGAGAGAAGAGGAGGAACAAAGCCAACGAGAUUAACGGUGACGGUGCGAGUAACGUUCAGUUAGGGCCGGUUUCUAACGGUAACUGAAGGGUAUUUUAGUAAAUACGAUGCUUUUUAAAAUCUUGGUAUAGCUUUGUGAAAUGAAUACUGUGUCGCGGUGUGUGUGUGCUGAUCACUAAUGGGCGAUUGAAGAAGUCAUUAUGCAAUGAAAAUGAAGCACUAUGAAUCAAAUAGAUAUAAUACUUCUUAUAAUUCCUGUCUCUUUAAAAUUUGCGUGAAUGGUUAAAAUUUUGGUUCGCAUUGCAAUGAUGAUUCUAAUGCCUCAAUUGUCAUUCUGGACUUGAGCAAAAAUCUUAUGCCUAAAACUUUUUGUAAUCGUAUUUAAUUCGAUAGACAUAUUCAAGGUUGUUUAUUUGAUUCGAUUGACAUAAUGUGACUAAAUUUCUAUGUAAGUAGUAACCAAAGAACGUAAUUGUACUUCAAUAGCUCUUGUUAUAAUGAUUAAUGAAUUAGUGGAAAUGGCAAAAUAAAUUAUGAGGAAGUGGGAAAGCUCCAAUUAUUGAGGAGAUAGAUAUAUGUUGUGAUCAACAAAGUGUCUUUGUGCAUGCAUUUGGGGCUGAAAUUGCCAUGCUCUUGGACACUUCAUUGUUGGUGGUAAAUGGUGAUGGUUAUUUUUCUUUUUUGUUUAAGAAAUUAUUAUAAUAUUUGCUUGGCUAUGCCCUUUCUUACCUAUAAAUUUUCGUCUUCUUAUAAUAAAAGAGAUUAGUUUAUGUUAUGUGGCUUUUAGAAUAAGAGGUCCAUUCGUGCAUAUGUCGACGGUCGAUUGAAUUGACUACUUAUGAAGUUUAUUUGAAGUAGAAACAAAGAGACCUCGCAAUAUUUAUGCAUGUUGCCUUUUCCUAGUUUAGUUUGUAAAUUCGGGAAUCAUGAUAUAUUGACAUGUUUAUAAUACAAUUUCGGACAUGGGCUUUUUGAUUGGUCCCCUCCAAAAAAGGCGUAAUUAUUAAUUUAUUUUUUUUCUUGGUGUGUGAAUUGUGAAAUGCGUGAUCAAAACAAGCUGACGCUGUAAAUUAAGUAACCUUCUUUGGUUUUUUAGGUAAGACAAUAGUUUUAACUUUGAAGGUUUUCAAUUCCUUGGAAAUUUGUCUUAAUAAAACUUACCCAUAUAAGUUGUGCAUUUUGAAGCGACAUAACAGGAAAAGAUUUCAGUACAUAAUAAGGUCUACAAAGUAACAAGAUUUUCAUAUUUUUUUUUAAAUAAAACAAAUGUACAUGCAAACAUACGACCCUAAUUACCAAAACCAAGAGAUGAAAAUGCAAGAUACGAGCGCCCGUAAGCGAUCAAAUAAUGAGGCAUUUGAUGUGGUGUUUUCAAUACAUGGAUCAGCGCAUAAUCGGUCUGUGCUGGGAAUUUCAAUCUCAUUCUGACACAGCACCUGCGUGAUAUCUUGAGAGAUCACGUUUCAGGGACCCAUCAUCCUAAUUAUUAUAUACCGUCCAUGCAUUAAUGUUAAUAUGCCCACUGAUGAAUGGUUUUGCAGCUUGAGUAAGACGGUGGCAAUUGGCAAAUCCUACACGUUUUUUUUGUCACUCUAUUAUCAUUUAUCACUAGGACAAAGUAACGAACACCGACAUCAGACUGGCCUCUUGUCUUAUAAAGGAAAGAGUUUUGAUAUUUACCCCGGGUCAAACCCCGAAACUAAACAAAACGACGCCGUUUGGUUUUUUUUUUUUUUCUCUAAAACGUUGCCGUUUGACUUAGCAUUUGCAAAAUGACUCUGCAGAAUCCUUGCGUCUCUCUUCUUCUUUGUUCGACUUAACAACUGUUUUUCUCUUCAUCAUCUUCGUCUUAAGUUGUGAUCUUUCUCUUACAAAGAACGCACUCAUUUAAUGAAGAAUGUGAUUAACAGUAGCUGCAAAAUUUAUCCGUGAAAGCUGAGUUUCGGUUACUAAGCUGAGUUUCAGCGGAACAAGAUCAACAGCGGCUGUGAAGUUUCGGCAGAACAAGAUUAACUGAGUAUUUGUUUCUAUAUUGCAUUUUGAAUGUUGAUUAAUGAGUUGGGCAUUUGUUUGUAUAUCCCAGCCUUAUACUGCAAUGCUUUUACAAAGGUUGAAUUUGGAGAUGCAGAAAUCGACUACUCACAAUAAAUGAAUCUCAAAUUAAUAAUUUUACCGCGAAUUAGGAAGUACAAUCAACCCAGCAUAAGAAUCCAAAACUUUAAACCACCACAAUUUCCUCACUUUAUCUGCUACAAGCAUAGCAUGAAAAUGAACAAAAGCAUGUGAGGCAUCACCCAUAACAGCCUCUUUAGACAGAUUCUGCAGCUACUCAUAUCAGUCAGAUAUACAUGCACAAGUGCGUGGGUGUGUAAACACACAGAGAGAGAGAGAGAGAGAGGGCAAAUUAUCCUGAGUUAGAAAUUAUCCUGUUUCUCCAUUAUUUCGAGAUGUUUUUUUUACGGGAGAGAGUUGAACACAACAAUACUCAGAGGUAGGGGUGGGCAUUUUACCCGAUCCGACCCGACCCGACCCGAUAAAUUUCGGGUUCGGGUCGGAUCGGGUCGGGAUUGAAACCCGAUCGGAUUGAAACUUACAAACCCGAUAGGGUUGUGAUCGGUUCGGGUCAAACCCGACCCGAUCCGAAUACCCGAUCGGGUUCCCAAAAAAAAAAAAAAUUGAUUUCUGGCAUGUGUCUGUACUCUUUAUUGAGCAUAUUUCCCUCUCCAUUCUCCAACAGCAAUCGAAUCACACCAAUAACCAAUCCAAAAAGUUGGCAGCCAUUCUGUCAAAAUUCUUCUCAAAGACAUUUUAAAUUUUAAUAAAGAAAAUAAAGUUGCCUUGGAUGGCAUUUUGCAAGUGCAAUGAUGACUGAAGCAAUCCUCACCCUUUUCUGUUUUUGUCCAAUUUAAUCAUUCAAAAGAGAUCUUAUCAUCUACCCAACGCCAAGCAAUUGAUAAAUUUCGAGCAUUUGACAAAUUGUUUAAGAACAGAACAAUUUCUUUUUGGAGGAAAAAAAAAAAAACAAAAAGGGGAGAGACCGAGAGAGGAUGAGAAAGAAACAAAGAAAGAAAUUUGUCACGGGAAACAAAUUUGAAUUUGUCAUGCUGCUGCACAGCACACACACAGAACACUAGAACAGAAGUCACAAGCUGCCAGCCACUGAGCCACACACACAUAGUCACAUACGCUGCUGCACACAUAGAACUAUAGAAGCCACAAGCUGCACACUGCACAGCACACACAAGUCACAAGCUGCACAGCACACACACUGACACUGUGACACACACGCUGCAAGUGCACAGCACACACACACACACGCUGCACUCAACAAUUCACUCGCAAAGACGCAAACCUAACACACACACACGCUGCCUGUCAGCCACAACUUCACAAAUCACAAACACAAACACAAACAAUGAAACAACUGAACAAGGCAGCCGCAACCCGCAACCCGCAACCCGCAAGUCUGCAACCAGCCACCACAAGACGCGAUCUGUUGCUGCCAACUGCUGAAAUCACGAUCUGUUGCUGCCAAGUGAAGUCGCGACCAGCUGCUGCCAAGUCAAACCCGUCCAGCCGUGAGUCGUGAGCCGCCCGCAUCUCCGAGAUCUGCUGCUGCCAACUCCCAAGUGAAGCCGCGAUCUGCUGCCAAGUGAAAUCCCGUCCGUCCAGCCGUGAGCCGUGGCCACCGAUCUGCUGCUUGAAGGCCGAAUCCUCUCCACCCGAACCCGAUUUUGAAGCUUUCCGGUUUCCACCUUCCACUUUCAAGCUUCAAGCCUUCAACCUUUUGACCCGUUUCCUAAGUGUUUCCUGUUUCGUUUCAUGGUAUAUAUACACUAUAUAAUUAAUUAAUUAUAUAUGCUAAAUAGUUUAUUAUGUAAUUUAGUAAUUGUUUAUUAUUUAAUUGUUGUAAUGAACGAAUUAUGUAUUUAUAAAUAUUAGUAAUAAAAUCAAGGAAAUUUUGUUAAUUAUUGAGCUCACAAGAAAUUAUUUUUUUUCAUAUAUAAAAAGGAAUUGUCGAUUGGUGGGUUUUGUUAAUUGAUAAUUGAUAAUUGUUAAUAAUUGUUAAUAAUAGUUAAUAAUUGAAAUAAUAUUAAUUGAUAAUUGUUAAUAAUUGUUAACAAUAAUUAAUAAUUGAUUUUUUUAUGAAUAAAUUAGCACAUUAGGUAGAUUAAAUAUUAAAAUUAAGUAUUAUGUUGUAUAUGUUUUAUAAUUAUAAUGUGUUUAUGUUAUGUAAUUAUGUGUACUUGUGCAGUAGCGUCAAGCUUUCAACCCUAAACAAAUUAAUAAAUUCAAUUAAUAUUAUAUUAUAUGUUAAUCAUCCGUUAAGUUGUUAAGUACAAGUAACUUGGACUUGAAAUUAAAGGAUUUAAUUUAUAAUAAAAAAUAAGAUAUAGAUAGACAAAUAAUAUCAUAUUAUUUAUUAUGGGAAAUGGGUAAUUGGAUAUUAUAUAUUAUAUUAAAAUUAAGUAUCAUGAAUUUCUUACUUUUUGUUUAUGGAGCAUGAACAACUUGAAUUGAAAUUACUAAUUUUUGUUUAUGGAUUAUGUUAAUAAUAUUUAUGUGUUUUGAUUUUUGAAUUAAUAAUAACAUUUUCUUUUCUUUUUUUAGUUGAAAAUUAGUAAAAAUGACUACAAUUAAGAAAAAUGUCUUAAAACUUUCAUAAAAACUACAAUAAUAGGAAAAAAAAGAGCUCAAAAUUGUAUUAACCGAAUUUGACCCGAAUUGACCCGAAUGGACCCGACCCGAAUUGACCCGAAUUGACCCGAAUUGACCCGAACUGACCCGAAUUGACCCGAACUCAAUCCAACUCAUUUUAAAUCCAACCCGAUCCAACCCGAACAUAACCCGAAUUAUUGACCCGACCCGAACCGACCCGAACUAUGUUCGGGUCGGGUCAAUAAUUCGGGUUAUGUUCGGGUUGGUUCUUGUCUAACCCGAACAACCCGAAACCCGAUCGGGUUGACCCGAACCCGAUUUUGCCCACCCAUACUCAGAGGAGGGUUUGCGAAAAAGAUGAAGAAAUAGAUUUAUGAAUGAGAGGGAGGGAUGAGGGUUUUUUGCAGAGUGUUGCACCAGUUUGUGCAGUAAUCUUUGAAGGUAAGUGUUUGCGAUUUCUUGCGGGAGAAAAGAAAAGCAAAGGAUCUUGGCAUCUUUGAAGAAGAUGAUGAUUUGAACUUGAUGUGAGCAAAUUUGUUGUUUCUUCAUAAGUAGCCAGAGAAAAUGAUACAGGAAAGAGUUAAGUGAAAGAUGGGAAACGAAGAAGUAAAGGGGAAAUAGGCAAGCAAAACGCGCCGUUCCUUGACUUUAGUUGUGAAACGGUGCGUUUUGAGUUUUCGGGGUUUGACCCGGGGCAAACAUCAUUUUCCUAAAGGAAAACACUACACUGGAGUAUCUCUAACCAAUACAACGAAAAGGUUCGAUAAAAAAUAAUGUCAUGUUAGUUGUAUAUGUAUGAUCAAAUUCACACCUUCUUUCACCUGCUGAUGCAGUAAGCCGUAGAAGUGUGAUUGAUCAAUCGACACUAAAUAUUAUAUCUAUACUGUUGGGGAAAAAUAUAGGUUUUUAAAUUUUUAUAAAACCUUUUUAAGAUCGCUCUCAUAUAAUAUAUAAGAAUACGUAAUCUAGAAAUCGUACCUUAAAAAUUCGAUUUGACUUUUUCCGCUGAAGUGAUUUAGGCUCUCAGAUCACGAUCCGUCACCACCACUCCUGUUAGAUCACGAUCCGUCACCACCACGCUUGUUAGAACACGAACUGGCACCAAUGAUCUUCUAGGUUAUGACUCAGGUUUGAUCUGCACUUGACUUGUGGGCGCCUUUAUCACUACCAAAGCAACUAGCAUGAGAAAAUUUUUCUCUCAACAAUAGAGAGAAAAAUCUUUUUCUCUGAUCUGUAUAAAGUGGCUGCUCACCUUUUUCUUUAGAGAAAAUAAGUCUUUUUAUAUCUCCUUUUAGUGAAAACCCUAGGCUCCAAAUAAUGAAAAACAAAACUUACGUUACUUGCUUUUUCUAUAGGGGACCCACCUUGUCAAAUAACAUAAGGCCCCUUACAUACAAGCUAAUUAAAUGGAGCCUCCCACUAAAUGAUAUAUUUAGGCUUUUGACCCAAAUAGCUAGUUAUCUUACUUAUUAAUCCAGUAGUGGUGCAAUCAAUUAAAUGAGCUAACCCGGGGAUCAUUUGGGAACAUACAAUAGUGGCUACAAUAAUUAGGCCUGUAAUUAAACUAGCCUAAUUAUUUAAUUCCAAAUCUACUCCACUAAAAGAUUGGAUCUGACUUCCAUAAUUGUAUGCUCGAAUAAUAAUUCGUCCCAAGCCAUAUUGAUUUCUUUACUGCACAAUCAUUUGUACUACAUCGUUAAUUAAAUUGAUAUCUCAACUGUCCAAUCAAUUUAAUAACAUCUUAUUCCUUGAUACUUACUGGUUUUCUCUAAUGAUCAUUUUCAGAAAAAAUAUUUAUUACAAUUAAAUAAACACAUAUGCUUUUAAAGAGCAUAUUUUCCCAACAAUCUCCCACCAGCUCUUAAAGCAUAUCUGGCAUAUUGCACAUGCUCUAGGGCUCUAAGUGCAGGUUAUAAAGGUUUCCCACUAAUGGUCAUUGUAAUAAGAUCUGCCGUUUAGCAUCUAAUGCCACUUGUGGUACUAUUAUAUAACCUUUCUACACUAUUCCCUUAUAAGAUGAUACUUCCUCUCAAUAUGUUUUUGUUUCUUGUGGUUCCUUAAAUUGAGCUACCGCACCACUAUUAUCGCAAAAUAGUUUAAGGGGUGCAGUUACAACAGGUACCACCUUAAGAUCUUGUAGGAACUUGCGGAGCCAUACAACUUCUUUUGCAGCUUCGGAUGCAGCCACAUAUUCAGCUUCAGUUGUGGAGUCUGCGAUACAAGAUUGUUUCACACUCCUCUAACUAAUAGCUCCACUUCCCAAUGUAAAAACAUAGCCGGAAGUUGAUUUUUUGAAAUCCUUAUUUGACAUAAAGUCAAAAUCAGUAUAACCCACUGGAAUAAGUUCAUCACUAGAAUACACAAGCAUAUAAUUUUUAGUUCUUUUCAUAUACUUUGUAAUAUGCUCGACUGCAUUCCAGUAUUGAGGUCCAGGAUUAAAUUGAUAUCUGCAAACCAUCCAUACCGUAAAAUAGACGUCUGGCCUGGUGUAAAACAUGACAUACAUGAGACUUCCCACAGCUUCUGCAUAGGGAACUCGUCUCAUUCUCUCUAUCUCUUCAGAUAUUUUAGGUGAUUGAUCAUUAGAGAAUGUAAUUCCACGUCUGAAUGGUAAUAAACCAGUAUUGGAAUUUUCCAUGCUAAAUCUAGCCAAUAUCUUAUCGAUAUAGACCGCUUGAGACAAUGCUAAAGUUUUAUUUUUCCGGUCUCGUAGUAACUUGAUACCAAGAAUAUAACUUGCCUCUCUCAGGUCUUUGAUAUCAAAUUGUUUUGCUAACCAACUCUUUAUUGUAGUCAAUACUCCUAUAUCGUUUCCAAUUAGGAGAAUAUCGUCUACAUAAGGAAUUAGGAAGGUUAUAUAUUUUUCUUGAAUUUUCUUAUACACACAUGGUUCAUCAAUGUUCUGAAUGAAUCCAAACGAUUUAAUCGCUUGAUUAAAUCUGAUGUUCCAUGACCGGGAUGCUUGCUUCAAUCCAUAAAUGGAUCUCUACAACUUACAUACCAUGUGUUCUUGGCCUUUUGUAUAAAUCCAUUUGGUUGCUGCAUGUAGAUGUUUUCUUCAAGAUACCCGUUAAGAAAGGCAGUCUUGACAUCCAUUUGCCAAAUUUCAUAAUCUAGCACUGCAGCAAUAGAGAGCAGAAUCCUGAUGGAUUUAAGCAUAGCAACCAGAGAAAAAGUUUCCUCCUAAUCGAUUCCCUCUUUUUGAGUAAACUCUUUGGCUACUAAUAUUGCUUUAAAUAUUUCCACCAUUCCGUCUAGUCCUCUUUUUCUCUUAUAGAUCCACUUGCACCCUAUAGGUUUUACCCCAUUUGGUGCCUCUACAAGUUCCCAGACUUUAUUAGAAUACAUAGAUUCAAUUUCUUAAUUCAUGGCCUUUUUCCAAAAUUCAACAUCUCUAUCUAUUAUAGCUUCGUUGUAACUAGUGGGAUCUUGUACAUGUUCAUCUGAGAUAGCCGUAUAGGUUUCUCCUAAAAACAUGUAUCUCGCAGGUAACCUAGUUACCCUCCCACUACGACGAGGUUCUAAAAGUGAUGGUUGCUCAGGGAUAAUCCUGUGUUGAUCAUUUGGUUGUUGCUGUUCUUCCUGUUUUGUAAUAGGCGUUGAAAGCUGAGCAUCAACCUGAUCACCUUUUUUUAUUUCUCUAGUUUUACCUUACUCUUAGGUAAGAAGUCAUUAUAUAGUCUUCCUCAAAGAAAGUAAAAAAUAUGUCCACAAAUACAUUCCUAUCUUGAGGACUAUAAUUCAGACUUUCCCUUAUUCCAUUAAGAUACCUUAAACAUGCAAGCUUCUGAACACAAAUCCAUCUUCUCUACCUCUGAUUCUAGUAGAAAUACUAGUAAACUCCAAAUACGAAUGUGUCUCAAACCAUGUUUGUGACUUUUUCAUAAUUUCUUAGAGUAGUAGACACUGAGAUAGAUGAAACUAAGUUCAAUAAACUUUGUAGUAUUAAAUAUUAGUAUCUGGAAUCAAAAGGUAAAUGAUAAACCACUUAGUAUAUAUCUUGUUUUAUCCAAAAGAAUCUUGUUUCUCCAUUUAAUUAAACUAUUGUAUCAUAGUGUUCAUUAACAACCAAAUAGUGCUUGAAUUCUCCAUAGAGAUAUUCUUUGUUUCGAUCAUAUCGAAGUUCUUUUAUGUUCCUGUCUAAUUGCUUCUAUCUUAUCCACGUACUCUUUUGAAUUUCAAAAGCAAUGGAAUCAUGACGCAUUUAAACAAACAUAAAUAAAAUGAAUAUUCAUCAACAAGAUUGAUAGAAUAUUCAUAACCUCUUAUAACAUGUAAACUUAUUAGUCCAUAUACAUUUGUAUGCGCUAAAUCAUCAAAUACAAUGUUAUGCUUUUAGCUCUAAACGAGCAUCUUCGUCAUAUUACUUUUCUAAAUAAGAUUUAUAGAGUUACAAUGAUCAAUCUUAAUAGGCCAACAAGUCUAUCAUUAAUCAUUUUCUUAAAAUCUUAUUAUAAUUUAUAUGACUUUAGCAUAAAUAUCAGAGGUGAUUUUGGUUUGAAGAAACAUUUCUUUUCUUAGAUAAAUGCAUAUACUCUUUAUCAUUAUAUCUUGCUUUGAAUAAAUCAAUGGACUUAUAUGAUAUAAAUUGUCUUUAUAAAUAACCAAAAUAAAUAAUAAACAGAGGAUAAAAAAAUAACAGUGUACUCCUGUUUAUUAAACAAGUCACCGAAAUUAAAUUCCUCUAAUAUUUGGAAAAAUAAAGACAAAUAUCAAAACUUUAAGUCUUGUAAAAUUGAUCUAGCCUUUCAAUUGAUAUAAACUAGCAUGUCAUCAACUACUGUUUGAAGCUUUCUUCACUUAAUCUCUUGGUUUCCUGAAAACCAAAUAAAUGAAUUACAAAUAAGAUUAGUUAUCUCAGAAUUCAUUAUUGUAUGAAUCUAUAGAAAUCUUUAGGAAGCUUAAAGAUUUCUUAUACCUGAUUUUAAUAAUUUUAGGACAAUCUUUCUUCCAGUGACCAUUCUGUCCACAUUUGUAACACUUGCCUUUUGGCUUGCCACUUCUUUUAGUGGACAGUUUGCCGAUCCCAACUCUUGCUUGCUCAUUCUUGUCUUUCGACUUAAGCCUUAAAGAGAAUCCUUUUUCAGGAAAUUUUCUGCUAUGAUAAAAUUCUUUUAUAGCAUGUAGUUCGUACAUUAAUUCAAUUAAGGUCAUAUCUUUAUUGUUUAAGAUAUAGCUGACCUUAAACUCUUUGAAUGUAUCAGGUAAAGAUUCAAUCACCAUGUUAAUCUUUGGUUUAUCAUUUAUUUGAACACCAUGAAUCUCUACCUCAUUCAAAUAUUCCAUCAUUUUGAGGACAUGAUCCCGAACUUUUGUGCCCUCUUCCAUCUUAGUAUCCGUAAUACGUUUUAAUGCUGCUUCUCUAGCAAAAUGAGUAUUUUUUCCAAACAUCUGAUGAAGACUAGCCAUUAUUCCAAUGGUUGUUUCCAUGCUCCGAUGUUUCUUAUGUCGUUCCACAGAAAUCGAAGCCAAUAUAUAGCGCUUAGUCAUUUUGUUAGCUUCGCACCAUUUCUCAUAAGGCUCAUUCUGAUUUCUAUAAUCGUAUAGCGAUGGUUCAGGAGGACAAGGCUGGGUCAACACAUAUUUGCAGCCCUUAGCAGUGAGAAUAUUAAAUAGAUUGUGUUUUCAAUCUAAAUAAUUUUCGCCAGUGAGUUCAUUUUAACAAAGAUAAUUAAUAAUGGGUUGAUGGAAGACAUUUUCUAAAUAAAAAAAAUGCACAUGCAUAAAUACUUUGAAACAAAAUUCACAAUAAAUGACAAAAAUACAAAAAAACAUAAAUGCAUUUUAAUUUAUUGUAACGAUAAUCUAGUACCGCUUUGACAAGCUAUCCGUUGGGGAAGUUACGUCUAUAUUUACUAGACCCAAUUAUCCAUUGGAUUAUUUACUUUCAUGUAGAGACAUGAUAAAUAAUUAUUGUUAUCCCUUUGGGCCUAAAUUUGUUAACAGAGCUUCGUUGGGAAGGUUAAUAAUAAAUUUUAGUUGAGUGUAUAACCAUUGUUUCAAUCUACGUAUUUUUCAUAUCAAUAGUCACCGUUGGGGUGAACAAUUGAUUGAAAAAAUAUUUCAAUUUUAUCUUUGAAGAAGUUCAUCAAAUAAAAUAUCUAAUAUAUAUACCCUCCGUAUGGAGCAUCACCGUAUCAUGAAGUCGAUGUAUAUAUAUAAUUUUAUUAUUGAACUAACAAUGGAGCCCGUGGGAAAAAUUAUCUUGAAUUUUCCCUCUCCCACUCAAUAUUUUAAAAAUUGGUUUUUCCUUUUUAAAACAUACAUAUUGUUAAUUGCAUGCUUCCUAUAAUAUUAUUUAGAUGAUAUCCAAUAUUAUUAAGCAAUCGCAAAUUACAAACAAUCUAGCGAGAUUCAUAAUUAAUGAAUGACAUGUUAUCAUGGCAUGUUUUCAUCCAAAACAUAACAUAUAGAAAAAUAAUUAAAUAAUCUUAAUUCAUGGCUUUCCUAAUAAUGAAAAAUACAUUAACCCUAAGCCUAAUCUUCAUUGGGCUUCUUGUCAAUGUCCAUCUUCCAUAAGCUUGUCUUUAAUGAACUAGGGGAAAUUGGGCUUUUAAAUUUAUAAUUGGUCCAAUUUUAAUUUUGAAAAGGAACAGGACACAAGGGAAAUAAAUAAAUAAAUAAAUUUAUUAAAGGGAAAAGGACAAACACACCCCCAACGUUUAGGUAAAGGGACAAAAACCUCCCUAAUGUUUUAAAAAAGACAUUUACACCAUAAUUUAUUAUAAUUUUACCAUUACCCUUCUAGCAUAUAAAAAAAUUAUUAGAUUAUCCAAUUUGACUAUAUAUUGUUAAUAAAAUUAUAAAUAUACUCUCAUUGCCUCAUUCCUCUAUUUAAAUUUUUAUCAAUAAUCAAUUUUAAAGAAAGACAUCUACACACUUGAAAAAAAUUGUAAAUAAAUUAUAAUUUAUAAAAAAUUGGUUAUGAAUACCAUAAUAAAUAACAUAGAAAAUUGGUUAUAAAUGUACAAUUUUAAAUGAUUGACAUGUGGAGAAUUGUUAAAUAUACAAGUUUAAAGUUUAAAUAAAAUUAGUUAUUAAUAACCAAUUUUAUUUUUUAAAUUAUAAUUUUUUUACAAUUUUUUUAGGUGUAUAGAUGUAUUUUUAAAAAAUUGGUUAUUGAUAAAAAUUUAAAUAGAGGAAUUUGGCAAUGAGGGUAUAUUUAUAAUUUUUUUUUAUAAUAUUCAAUUUGUCUAUUUAUAAUUUUAUUAACAAUAUAUAGACAAAUUGGAUAAUCUAAUAAUUUUUUUUAUAUGCUAGAAGGGUAUAAUGGUAAAAUUAAAAUAAAUUGGGGUGUAAAUAUCCUUUUUAAAACAUUAGGGGGAAUUUUGGUCCCUUUACCUAAACGUUGGGGGUGUGUUUGUCCUUUUCCCUUUAUUAAAAUAAAACUUUUGGACCAAAAAUAAAUUUAAUGUAUUCAAUUUUAUCUAUGCAUUUUAAACCAUUAAGCCCUAUUGAAAUUGGGGCUAAAGCUAUGAUUCAUUAAGCCCAAAACUAUUUUUGGACUUAAAUGCAAAAAAUUUAAACGUGUCUGCCCAAAAGAAAAAACUACGGAGCCAUAGGGACCUCAAUGAUAGAAACCAUUGAAACCCUAAAUCCAUCUUUUUCUCUUUCCUUUCUUCCCCAGCCGCCAUCUCCAAAAAAACAGCCAUUGUUCGCUAUUUUUGCACCAGACAGCCGCGCCAUUAACGCUGGAAACAAACCAACCCUGCGCGCGAUGCUUGCUGGAGCGCACGCUGCUGUUGCGUACGAUGCUACUGCGCGCGCCGCUAGCCAGGCUGGCUACGCGCAUCGCUUGCUGCCCGCAGCGCGCGCUGCUAGCAGCGUGUGCUGCCUGCUGCAUGCAUUGCCAACAUGCGCUUGCAGCUUGUACUGCACAUUGGCUGCAGCGAGUGCGCUGGUCGGUGGUCGCUAUUGAAAUUUUCGGCCUCCGUCGCUUUGAGCUCGUUUUCCAGUGAUGAUUUUUCAGUCAUUUACAAAUUUUCUAUGCCAAUUUUUGGCUUACAAAAUUUCCAUUAUAGUAAAAUAAAUCAGGAGGGAAACAUGGUGAUGAAAAACCACUCCUCUUGUUAUAGAUCCAAACAAAAAAUACAGCAGAAAAUCUAACCAUGAAUUAAGACAAACCAAAACAUGCUUUAUUCAUAUAUUAAACAAAUAAUAUAUAUCUGAAUAAAUUAUGCUACUCUAAUACAUAAAUUUCAAAAAUGAUUUCAUACAAUAUUCUUAUAUAUUAAUAUGGGAUGGCUCUAAUACCAAUUGUUAGGGAAAAAUACAAGUUUUUAAAUUUUUAUAAAACCUUUUUAAGAUCGUUCUCAUAUAAUAUAUAAGAAUACGUAAUCUAGAAAUCGUAUCUUGAAAAUCCGAUUUGACUUUUUCCGCUGAAGUGAUUUAGCUCCCAGAUCACGAUCCGUCACCACCACUCCUGUUAGAUCAUGAUCCGUCACCACCACGCUUGUUAGAACACGAACUGGCACCAAUGAACUUCUAGGUUAUAACUUAGAUUUGAUCUGCACUUGACGUGUGGGCGCCUUUAUCACUACCAAAGCAACUAGCACGAGAAAAUUUUUCUCUUAACAAUAGAGAGAAAAAUAUUUUUCUCUGAUCUGUAUAAAGUGGCUGCUCACAUUUUUCUUUAGAGAAAAUAAGUCUUUUUAUAUCUCCCUUUAGUGAAAACCCUAGACUCCAAAUAAUGAAAAACAAAACUCACGUUACUUGCUUUUUCUAUAAGGGACCCACCUUGUAAAAUAACAUAAGGCCCUUUACACACAAGCUAAUUAAAUGAAGCCUCCCACUAAAUGAUAUAUUUAGGCUUUUGACCCAAAUAGCUAGUUAUCUUGCUUAUUAAUCCGGUAGUGGUGCAGUCAAUUAAAUGAGCUAACAUGGGGAUCAUUUGGGAACAUACAAUAGUGGCUACAAUAAUUAGGUCUGUAAUUAAACUAGCCCAAUUAUUUAAUUCCAAAUCUACUCCACUAAAAGAUUGGAUCUAACUUCCAUAAUUGUAUGCUCGAAUAAUAAUUCGUUCCAAGCCAUAUUGAUUUCUUUACUGCACAAUCAUUUGUACCACAUCGUUAAUUAAAUUAAUAUCUGAACUGUCCAAUCAAUUUAAUAACAUCUUAUUCCUUGAUACUUACUGGUUUUCUCUAAUAAUCAUUUUCAACAUACUAAAUAUGUUGACACACUCUGGCCAGAGAAUUCUAUGAUCAAGUGCCGAAAACUCAUCAAGAGAUGUGUUGUACAAAUUCUAUAUUGUUAAUCUAUAACUCCAAUACUCAUAAAUGCUCCCACCAAGAUACCGGGUAAUCUAGACUACAAGUAUGUGUCAUGCCCAUUGGUAACCCAAAUGGAAUAACAAUUACAAUCAUGAAAUCAUAAUUAAUUCAAGAUUAAGAUUACAGUAAAAUCAAUGCCUAUGAGAUUUAAUAAGUCUGACAGUUAUUACAAAGUUAAUUAAAUCUCAUAUGUGAUCCUAUUCAAUGUAGUCGUACUACAUCAAUAAAUUCAUACAUGAUUAAGACAAAUCAUUCAAUGAAUUUAUUACAGUCUAUACCUAAAUAAAGUGUCCAACUUUAUUUAUCAACUGCGAACUAAAUUUAUUUAAUCAUAAGAUAACUUGUAUUUAUGUCUUAUGUGAAUCCACAUGGUGAUCACAUAAAUACAUAUAAUAUGAUUAAAUGGACUUUAAUAAAAAUAUUAAUGCAAUUAAGAUAUUUGAAUAAAAUACCUCAUUAAUUUUAUUAAUCAGAAAAAAUAUUUAUUACAAUUAAAUAAACACAUAUGCUUUUAAAGAGCAUAUUUUCCCAACAAUCUCCCACUAGCUCUUAAAGCAUAUCUGGCAUAUUGCACAUGCUCUAGGGCUCUAUGUGCAGGUUAUAAAGGUUUCCCACUAAUGGCCAUUGUAAUAAGAUCUGCCGUUUAGCAUCUAAUGCCACUUGAGGUACUGUCAUAUAACAUUUCUACACUAUUCCCUUAUAAGAUGAUACUUCCUCUUAAUAUUUUUUUGUUUCUUGUGUUUCCUUGGUUCCUUAGAUUGAGCUACCGCACCACUAUUAUCGCAAAAUAGUUUAAGGGGUGCAGUUACAGCAGGUACCACCUCAAGAUCUUGUAGGAACUUGCGGAGCCAUACAGCUUCUUUUGCAGCUUCGGAUGCAGCCACAUAUUCAGCUUCAGUUGUAGAGUAUGCGAUACAAGAUUGUUUCACACUUCUCCAAAUAAUAGCUCCACUUCCCAAUGUAAACACAUAGCCGGAAGUUGAUUUUUUGGAAUCCUUAUCUGACAUAAAGUCAUAAUCAGUAUAACCCACUGGAAUAAGUUCAUCACCAGAAUACACAAGCAUAUAAUUUUUAGUUCUUUUCAUAUACUUUAUAAUAUGCUCGACUGCAUUCCAGUAUUGAGGUCCAGGAUUAAAUUGAUAUCUGCAAACCAUUCAUACCGCAAAAUAGACGUCUGGCCUAGUGCAAAGCAUGACAUACAUGAGACUUCCCACAGCUUCUGUAUAGGGAACUCAUCUCAUUCUCUCCAUCUCUUCAGAUGUUUUGUAUGGAAACGUGAUGUCUUAUUAACAAAAAAAGAAAAAAAGAAAAAAAGAUUAUUCUCGGAAACUAACAUAGGUUAUUUUGUUUUCUAACAUUAAGUUUAAUUUUAAGGAGUAAAAUUCAUUGUUCCUGUAAUCUUCUAUUUUUCUUUUUAUAAUUCUUAAUAAAGCUUCUCCCCUUUGCCGAAGUUGGACAAAAAAAAAAAACUCUGAUAGUCAAAUUAUUUGUGUAAAUACAAAUAUUUUACUAAUUAAGGGCAUGUGUCUUUAAUUAGAAAACUUAAAAGAUAAUUGGCUAUGCAUAUCAUUUAUUAAUUCUUCCAAAAAUAUCAUAAGCUAACAAUUCCGGAGAAUAUCUACCGUCUGCAAGUUGAUUUUUGUAGCUUUUCAAUUGUUAGGAUGGCCUAUGUUUUCCAACAACCGAAAACUAAAGCCAGCUUGCUACCAUUUCCUUUGUCGCACAAACUAAUCACAUGCUCAAUCGAAGGUGUGGGGAAAAAAUUUGCCUUCUUGGUGCUUGAAUUAAUGUACAUUUUUUUUUUCAAAAUGCAAACGUUGCCUAAGAUGGUAAUUAACAUGUAAGAUAGAUUGUUACAUUUUUCUUAAUCUUUGGUUUGAUAUUCUGGACGAAAACGGUUUGCCGUUUCUUGAGAAAACGGCUAAUCGUUUAAGUCCAGAGAGCAUGUUUUUGUUCUGGGAUAAAAUGGCUCACCAUUAUUGAGAAAACGGCUAACCGUUUAACUCCAGAGAGAAUGUUUUAUGUUCUAGAGAAAAAACAGCUCACCGUUAUUGAGAAAACGGCUAACCGUUUAUUUACAGAAAACAACGUAUUUGACAUUCUGGAAUAAAACAGCUCACCGUUUAUUGAGAAAACGGCUAAGCGUUUAUUUCCAGAAAUGCGUCAACUGGAAAACGGUUAAGCAAGUUUGAAAUUUAAUUGUCAAUCAAUGCAAAUUCAAACCAAAAGAGUGUCUUUGAAGAAGCACCAUUUCGAAUGGUUGUAUUCUUUUAAAUAAACAUCUUCUUCAUUAAAAGAAAGAUAUACAAUUAGAUUUAUAAUUAGUUUUUACAGAUUUCAUAUAAGUUCUGGAAAUACAAUCUUAUUUGCUAAAGAUUGUAUUCAGGAUUUGAUAUAUCUUGGGUGUAAUUUGCCAUUAAACUCUAUAGCAAAUCAAGAUUGGUGAGGGCAAAUAAAACCUUAAAGGAAAGUGUGCAAACACGUCUCAAAUCCUAAGAAAUUGUCUCUAUUCUUUGCCUCCAUAUUAUUAAAUUCACCAACAAUCUUUAAGGUUUUAUUUAAAUGGAGGCUGAGAAGAGUUUGACAUCUUUUCUGAAUCCUAGUGUUCAUCUCGAUCAUUUUGAUGGAACUAAUUUCACUCGUUGGAAGGGAAAAUUGUUCUUUCUCCUUACUGUUCUUAUAGUGGCAUAUGUUCUAGAUUCGAAAUUGGAACCAUUUCCAGAACCAAGAGAAGAUGAUACCGAAGUUGUUAAGGCUGCAAGGAAACGUCGUGAAGAUGAUGAAUUGAUGUGCCGGGGUCAAAUACUCAAUACACUUUCUGACAGGUUAUACGAUCUCUACAAUUCUAUGACUUCUCCGGUGGAAAUUUGGAAUGUUCUUGAGUACAAAUACAAAACGGAGAAAGAAGGUACUGACAAAUUCCUUGUAUCUAAAUAUUUUGAAUUUAUUAUGGUAGACACAAAAUCUAUUCUUGAUCAAAUACAUGAGUUACAAAUUAUUGUUGCUAAGCUUCGAGAGUUAAAAGUUGAAAUUUCUGAAUCAUUUCAAGUUGGGGCUAUUAUUGCUAAAUUGCCUCAAAGUUGGAAUGAUUAUAGAAAGAAACUCCUUCAUAGUAAAGAGAACAUAACUUUAGAAGAAUUGCAAAAACACUUGGUAAUUAAAGAAGAGACUAGGUCUCGCGAAUCCAAGGAUAAGCAUGAUUCUACUAAAGUUAAUGUUGUUGAAGCUAGUAAAUUCUCAAAGAAUUUUAAAGUCAAGAAUGACAAGAAAUUCAAGAAGUCCAGCACACAAAAGUUUUCUGGAAAUUGUUUCUUUUAUGGUAAGAAAGGCCAUCGCCAAAGUGAUUGCAAAUUCAAGAAGAAAAAUGAAGAAGUGAAUUCCCAUAAAGCUAAUGUUAUUGAAAACAAAUCUGAAGAGAUUUGUGCUAUGGUUUCUGAAAUGCAAAUUGGCAUGAUUACCGAAACCAAUAUGGCUGAAACUAAGUCCUAUGAUUGGUGGCUCGAUUCGGGUGCAACAAUUCAUGUUUGUAAUGAUAAGAAAUUUUUCUUAUCAUACAAAGAAGAAACGGAAUGACAAAUGGUUCUCAUGGGGAACAAUAAUGCAGCCAUAGUAGCAGGGAAAGAAGUAGUUGAGAUCAACUUCACUUCUGGAAAGAAAGUCACAUUGUAUAAUGUCUUUCAUGUACCUUCCGUUAGAAAGAAUCUUAUUUAUGCUAGUUGUAUGUGUAAGCAUGGGCUUAAGAUUGUGCUUGAGGGUAAUACUUGUAUUGUCUCAAAGAAUGGAUUAUUUGUUGGGAAAGGGUAUUCUUGUGAUGGAAUGUACAAACUCAGCAUAAAUAAUAAUAAUAUCAACUUAGCUUAUAUUGUUGAGUCUUGUGAUAUUUGGCAUGCUAGAUUAGCACAUUUGAACUUUAGAUCUUUGAAAUACAUGUCUAAGCAUGGUUUGAUUAAUUGCAAUGAUGUUAAAGGUCAUAAGUGUGAAAUCUGCAUCCAAGCUAAAUUAACUAAGAAACAUUUUCCUAAAGCUGAACGAAAUACUCAAAUAUUGGAUUUAAUACAUACCGAUAUUUGUGAGUAUAAUGGCAUGUUAACAAGAGGAGGUAAGAGGUACUUAAUCACUUUUAUUGAUGAUUGUUCUAGAUACACUUAUGUGUAUUUACUUAGAACAAAAAAUGAAGCUUUUGAUAAAUUUAAAAUUUUCAAAGCUGAAGUUGAGAACCAAAAAGAUAAGAAAAUCAAAAUGGUUCGUAGUGAUAGAGGUGGUGAAUAUUUCUCAAUUGAAUUUAAUAAUUAUUGUGAAGAAUUUGGAAUUAUUCACCAAAGAUCAGCUCCAUUUACUCAUCAACAAAAUGGUUUGGCUGAAAUGAAGAAUAGGAUUUUCACGGAUAUGAUAAAUUCCAUGAUCCUUAAUGCAAAACUACCAAAUAAUUUGUGGGGGGAAGCAUUACUCAUUGCAUGUCAUAUUCAUAACAGAAUUACAUCUUUGAAAACACAUAUAUCUCCUUAUGAAAUUUGGAAAGGAAGAAAACCAAACUUGAUGUAUUUAAGAGUCUGGGGUUGUUUAGCUUUUUAUAAAAUACAUGAUCCUAAGUCAUCAAAGUUGAGUGCUAGAGGUAUAAAAAGUGUUUUCGUAGGAUAUGCUGAAAAUUUCAAGGCUUAUAGGUUGUUAGAUUUAGAUUCUAAUGUGAUUGUGGAAUCUAGAGAUGUUGAGUUUAUUGAGAAUAAAUUUCAACUUGAUUCUAAUAUUGAAUUAGAAUCAAUUAUUGAUCAACCAUGUGUUAAUACUCUUGUUACCUCCACUAACAAUAAUAAAAGGAAAGAGUCUAUGACAUCUUUCGAACCAAAGAGGAGUCAACGUGAAAAGAAAGAAAAGAGUUUAGCUCCGGAUUUUAUUUCAUCACAAGCACUACUCUUCUUGGUUGAAGGGGAUAGAAAGAAUGUACUUAACAAAGUACCAUUGUUGUUAAAUAUUGAAAAAGAUCCAAAGACAUUUAGCGAAGCUAUGUCUUCAAGAGACGCUUCCUUUUGGAGAGAGGUGGUAAAUGAUUAAAUGGAUUCGAUUAUGUCGAAUCAAACAUGGGUCUUGGUUGAUCUUCCUCCAGGAUCUAAACCAAUUAGCAGCAAAUGGGUAUUUAGAAUAAAGUACAAUAGUGAUGGUUCUUUGCAAACUUUUAAGGCUAGAUUAGUAGCCAAAGGGUUUAAGCAAAGAAAUGGGAUGAUUAUUUCGAUACAUAUGCUCCGGUAGCAAGGUUAACUUCUAUAAGAGUGCUAUUUGCAAUUGCUUCAUUGAACAAUUUGUAUGUGCAUCAAAUAGAUGUUAAAACAGCUUUUCUUAAUGGUGAUCUUGAUGAAGAAAUCUAUAUGGAACAACCUGAGGGAUUUGUUUUGCCAGGAAAUGAGAAAAAGGUAUGCAAGUUAGUCAAAUCUCUUUAUGGUUUAAAGCAAGCACCAAAACAAUGGCAUGAGAAGUUUGAUUCGGUAAUUUUAUCUCAUGGUUUUAAGCAUAAUAAUGCUGAUAAAUGUAUAUAUUUUAAAUUUACGAAUGAUUUUGGUGUGAUUAUAUGCUUGUAUAUUGAUGACUUGCUUAUCUUUGGAACAAAUAUGCAAGGAGUAGAUGAUACAAAGAAGUAUUUAACUUCACAGUUUAAGAUGAAAGAUCUUGGUGAAGUAGAUAUUAUCUUAGGUGUCAAAGUGAAUAAACAUAGUGGGGGUUACUCGUUGUGUCAAUCUCAUUAUAUAGAGAAAGUGCUUCUUAAAUUCAAUUAUUUGAAAUUUAAAGAAGCUAAUACCCCAUAUGAUUCUAGUAUUAAAUUACUAGAGAAUUCAGGCCGAGUAGUAGCACAACUAGAAUAUGCUAGUGCUAUUGGUAGCUUGAUGUAUGCUAUGCAUUGUACGAGGCCUGAUAUAGCAUUUGCAGUUUGCAAAAUGUCAAGAUUCACGAGUAACCCUAGUGUUGAACACUGGAAAGCAAUUGGUAUGAUACUUGGUUAUCUUAAAAGGACCAUUAAUUUGGGUUUGUUUUAUAAUGAUUAUCCUGAAGUACUGGAAGGAUAUUCAGAUGCUAGUUGGGUAACCAAUACAAGAGUUAAUAAAUCCACUUCUGGUUGGAUUUUUACAAUUGCUGGAGGAGCGGUUUCUUGGGCUUCAAAGAAACAAACGUGCAUAACUCAUUCAACAAUGGAAAGUGGGUUUAUAGCACUUGCAGCUGCAGGCAAAGAAGCAGAAUGGCUGAGAAAUUUGUUGUUUGAUAUAAUGUUGUGGCCACAACCGAUGCCAUCUAUUUCUUUGUACUGCGACAGUGAAGCUACAUUGUCUAGAGCUUAUAAUAAAGUGUAUAAUGGAAAGUCUAGACAUAUUAGCUUGAGACAUGAAUAUGUGAAACAAUUAAUAGCAGAUGGUGUUAUUAAUAUUGUUUAUGUUAUGACUAAUAAGAACCUAGCAGAUCCUUUAACAAAAGGUCUUUCAAGAGACUUAGUUAAGGAUACAUCUUUUGGAAUGAGAUUGAAACCUUUGCAUAAUAAAGUCACCAACGACGGUAACCCAACUAUGUAGUAGUUGUACCGUUACUCCAUAGUUAAAUGGGUAAUAACAAGUUGUUAUGUGACUGGUUUGGCACCGAGUAAUAAAUAAUCUCAUUCGAGAGUUUCGAUGUAAAUAGCUACGAGGUUGAGGUUGAGUAUUUACUCUUAAUGAAGUUCAAGUCUUAUAGUAGCUAAAGACAUGAUUUGAAACUUCACCUAAGUGAACAUAAGAAAUGGUGUUGUUUCUAACAAGAUCAUGGUUUAAUCUUGUAAAUGUUCAUGAAUCCAAGAUAGAGCACAAGGCCGGAAUAGUGCUAACUAUUGGAACACAAUUUUGAAAUCUGGGAUAGCUUAUAUGUGAUGUAUCUCCGGUAUUUACUUAAGAGACAAAGUUUAAUGCUUAGCACACUAUUGUCUUGUAAAUACUUUGAAAUACACUCACUAAUUAAAGGUUAAAAUCGAAAGAUACCUUUUUGUAUGUAUAAGUUUAUCAUUAAUAAAUCUGAAAAAAAUAUUACAAUCUAGUGGGGAUUGUAAGAGAGAUUGUUACAUUUUUCUUAAUCUUUAGUUUGAUAUUCUGGACAAAAACGGUUUGCCGUUUCUUGAGAAAACGGCUAACCGUUUAAGUCCAGAGAGCAUGUUUUUGUUCUGGGAUAAAACGGCUCACCGUUAUUGAGAAAACGGCUAACCGUUUAACUCCAGAGAGAAUGUUUUAUGUUCUAGAGAAAAAUGGCUCACCGUUAUUGAGAAAAUGGCUAACCAUUUAUUUACAGAGAGCAACGUAUUUGACAUUCUGGAAUAAAAUGGCUCACCGUUUAUUGAGAAAACGGCUAACCGUUUAUUUCCAGAAAUGCGUCAACUGGAAAACGGUUAAGCAAGUUUGAAAUUUAAUUGUCAAUCAAUGCAAAUUCAAACCAAAAGAGUGUCUUUGAAGAAGUACCAUUUCGAAUGGUUGUAUUCUUUCAAAUAAACAUCUUCUUUAUUAAAAGAAAGAUAUACAAUUAGAUUUAUAAUUAGUUUUUACAGAUUUCAUAUAAGUUCUGGAAAUACAAUCUUAUUUGCUAAAGAUUGUAUUCAGGAUUUGAUAUAUCUUGGGGGUAAUUUGCCAUUAAAACUCUAUAGCAAAUCAAGAUUGGUGAGGGCAAAUAAAACCUUAAAGGAAAGUGUGCAAACACGUCUCAAAUCCUAAGAAAUUUUCUCUAUUCUUUGCCUCCAUAUUAUUAAAUUCACCAACAUAACAUGCAUCAUGUUUGCUAUCGUUAUUGAUUUUUCUUGUUUUCUUUAAUUAUUUUUCUAGAAUUUUAGGUCUCUACUCCUCAUCAAUUUAAUUUCGUAACAAUAAAAUUACCUUAUAUACUUGAAAUAGACUUUCCAAAUUUUAGAAAAACACGUUCAAAUUUCGAAUUCCUAAUAAUCUUUUUUGUGGGAUGCUAUGAGAUAUUCUCGUAGCUCACUAAUUUUGUAAGAGGCAUUAAGCGUGACAUGCCUAGAUAGUAGUUCAACAAUUAAGAAUUUGAGAACUUAAGUUUUAACUUAAUUUGAAUGGAAUUUGUUAUACUCUCAGGGAGUGUGUUUAAAUAUCAUCAUGAAGUGCGAGCACAAUUAGAUUGAUCUAGAGUUAGUUUUUAGUAGUUUCUAAAAAGUAAAAUUAAUAUUACUAUAAAUGACAUUGAUUAAUUGAUUGUCACUUCCUCGCUUCACUCUUUAGGGAAUUAGAGUAAAGAUUGGAGUCCUUUUGUGUGCAUAUUUAUAAAUAAAUUUGAUCUAUUUUAAAUCCAAAUAUCUUUUCUACACUAUUAUAAAACUAUCAUAUUAUUUAGAACAUCAAACUCAUAUUAAUUCAAGCUAACCAUAUAAAUGAUCCCAAGAAAUAUAUUUGCCAACCAAAUUGUAAGUAGGAUUCUAUUAAAAAGCUUUCAAAUUAAUUCUUAAAAAAAUGAAAAAGGUAGAAGGGUAAACAACAAUACUUUCAACAAGCUACCAUAUAUAUAUAUAUAUAUAUAUAUAUAUAUAUACACAUUAUUAAUUAAUUUUGAGAUCUUAAAGCACUUUCCCCGUACAACGACACAACGUGUUGUAAAAUCAAGCUAAAACAACACAACAAAAAACUUCGACCCUCAUUCAAUGAAAGUAUGAAACGCCAGUGCAAAUUUUGUCAUAUUUUUGGGGGCCACCGCCAAUUUGCAUCGUUUCCCCUGUUCUUUUGGAUGCUCGCUGGCAAACAAGUGGGUCGAAUUAAAAAACUAAUAUUAUUAUCAUUUCAUAUCUAAAAAUAAAUAUUAAAAAAAGCAUUAUUAUUUAACAACCCAUUAUUCCCUUUCGAUCAAAACUAUACAUAAAAUACUAAAUAUCAAGCAGCAACCAUUAAUAUAUUGAGAAUAUAAAUAAUUAAAAAGAAAAAAAACAGCACACUGGUUUCAGUUUUUAUAUAUCACAUAUGCACAGCAAGAUUGACACUUCUAUCCUAUUUUACCUAACAGGGUUAAAGAUCCACAUGGCUUUACCAAUGAGUGAAAGCGAAACAAGGACAAUUAAUCAAAUAAUAAUUAACUUCUCUUUUAUUUGGACUCUUUGGUCAAAGCAAUGAUGUAAGCUUCGCUCUAUAUACUAAGCUUAUAACCUAAGCUGUCCAGCAAAUUAAACAUACACUUCAAUCACAAGGUUUCUUGUUUUUGUAGUAGUUUCAUGGCAGUUUGAGUUUCUAUCUCUUCUUCCAAACCCUAGCUUAUAUAAUCAAACACUCGCAGUCUCUCUCUCUCUCUCUCUCUCUCUGGCUAGCUAGCUUAGCAACAACAUGGCUGCAGGCUUGGGAGCCAAGAGCAACAACAAUACUGACCCUCAAAACCAAAAAACUCUUGCGGAUUUUGAUCCCCAAAAGAAACCAAAAAGAAAUCUGUAUGCCUCCGGCGCUGCCAUUUUGGCUUCCAUGACUUCAAUCUUACUAGGUUAUGGUAAGUUAACUUUACAAGAACCCUUUCUUGUAUCUAUUAGUUUGCUUUAUAUCGUGAUUCACGAAACAUGCAUCAUGGAGAUGGAAGUAAUAAGGUUUCUUUGUGAAGAAAAUCUUCUCAGAAAGUGGAUAAGUUUUGUGUGGGUGUUAGUCGGUUUAACAGGAAAAAAAACUGUUUAAAUUAGUAUAAGAAAUUAAGAGUUCGAAUAUCUCUGUCAUAAGAUUUUAUUUCAUGCAUGCGUAAUUGGUUCUGCAUGCAUUAAUUAAUUAAUAUUAUAUUUUUUUUUGGUGUUCUUUUCUUGUAGACAUUGGAGUAAUGAGUGGAGCUGCACUCUACAUCAAAGACGACUUUAAAGUCAGUGACACAAAAAUCGAGAUCUUAAUUGGAAUCUUGAAUAUUUACUCACUCUUCGGCUCACUGGCCGCCGGCGUAACCUCCGACUGGAUUGGCCGCCGGUACACUAUCGUGUUAGCCGGGGCCAUCUUCUUCGCCGGAGCGCUGCUCAUGGGGUUUGCCACAAACUAUGCUUUCCUCAUGGGGGGUCGCUUCGUCGCCGGCGUCGGCGUCGGAUACGCUGCAUUGAUCGCUCCCGUAUAC